RNAcentral lists this transfer RNA (74 nucleotides) under Myotis davidii. It matches the Rfam family "tRNA". From Rfam's summary of the family: Transfer RNA (tRNA) molecules are approximately 80 nucleotides in length. The record is from Rfam by way of RNAcentral. Lineage: Eukaryota; Metazoa; Chordata; Mammalia; Chiroptera; Vespertilionidae.
GCCAGUGUGGCUCAGUGUUUAGAGUGUCGGCCUGAGGACCGAAGGGUCACAGGUUCCAUUCCUGGUCAAGGGCA